This 481-nucleotide ribosomal RNA is filed under the name uncultured bacterium. RNAcentral describes it as "partial 16S ribosomal RNA". It matches the Rfam family "Bacterial small subunit ribosomal RNA", at positions 30 to 506 of the family's 1533-position model. The record is from RNAcentral.
AUUGAACGCUGGCGGCAUGCUUUACACAUGCCAGUCGAACGGUAACAGGCCGCAAGGUGCUGACGAGUGGCGAACGGGUGAGUAAUGCAUCGGAACGUGCCCAGUCGUGGGGGAUAACUACUCGAAAGAGUAGCUAAUACCGCAUACGAUCUAUGGAUGAAAGCGGGGGACCGUAAGGCCUCGCGCGAUUGGAGCGGCCGAUGUCAGAUUAGGUAGUUGGUGGGGUAAAGGCUCACCAAGCCAACGAUCUGUAGCUGGUCUGAGAGGACGACCAGCCACACUGGGACUGAGACACGGCCCAGACUCCUACGGGAGGCAGCAGUGGGGAAUUUUGGACAAUGGGCGCAAGCCUGAUCCAGCAAUGCCGCGUGCAGGAAGAAGGCCUUCGGGUUGUAAACUGCUUUUGUACGGAACGAAACGGCUCUGGUUAAUACCCGGGGCUAAUGACGGUACCGUAAGAAUAAGCACCGGCUAACUACGU